AACGAACGCUGGCGGCAGGCUUAACACAUGCAAGUCGAGCGCCCCGCAAGGGGAGCGGCAGACGGGUGAGUAACGCGUGGGAAUCUACCCAGCUCUACGGAAUAACUCAGGGAAACUUGUGCUAAUACCGUAUACGUCCUCCGGGAGAAAGAUUUAUCGGAGCUGGAUGAGCCCGCGUUGGAUUAGCUAGUUGGUGGGGUAAUGGCCCACCAAGGCGACGAUCCAUAGCUGGUCUGAGAGGAUGAUCAGCCACAUUGGGACUGAGACACGGCCCAAACUCCUACGGGAGGCAGCAGUGGGGAAUAUUGGACAAUGGGCGAAAGCCUGAUCCAGCCAUGCCGCGUGAGUGAUGAAGGCCCUAGGGUUGUAAAGCUCUUUCACCGGUGAAGAUAAUGACGGUAACCGGAGAAGAAGCCCCGGCUAACUUCGUGCCAGCAGCCGCCGUAA
This 447-nucleotide ribosomal RNA is filed under the name uncultured bacterium. RNAcentral describes it as "partial 16S ribosomal RNA". It matches the Rfam family "Bacterial small subunit ribosomal RNA", at positions 29 to 523 of the family's 1533-position model. The record is from RNAcentral.